This 628-nucleotide long non-coding RNA is filed under the name Cotesia glomerata. Its description in RNAcentral is "uncharacterized LOC123260175". The record is from RNAcentral. Lineage: Eukaryota; Metazoa; Arthropoda; Insecta; Hymenoptera; Braconidae.
UCUUAGUCUAAGAAAUUUUUCUUGAUUUUAAAAAAUUUUACUUGAUUCAAGAAUUUAUCGUCCAAACAUUUGGUCAUUCACCGAAAAGCUGCGAGAUUUACAAGCCGUAACAUAUUUCGAAUUGCAAUCAUUGUUGCGUGGGCAACCAGUUAUUCGUGAUCCUCGUUGUCAAACUUUAAUACGAGAUCGAGAUCUUCACACUGCUUGGUUAUUGUUCGAACAAGAUGUUUUGGACAUACCAAAUUUUCUAGCUUGUGCUAGUUUCUUCCUGAAAUCAACAUAUAUACAGGCACAAGAAAACCUGAACAACAUGGACAUCAGAAGUGAUGAAGAAGAAGAUUUUUUAGCAAUAGGAAACAUUAUUCUGCAGCCAGCUGCUCAUUAUUAUAGGAUGGUCGUUUUCCAAGAAGUGGAAAUGAUUUUUGAAUAAUUUAAUUACCUCACCUCAUACUAUAAGUUCUUGUAGUUAAGUCAAGGAUGUCAAGGAUGUCAAAAAAACAACGUCAAUAAAGUGUAUGGAGCGAAAGAAAUUUUUAGAUGUGCCUUUUGCCGUGCUGAAGUCCUUUGGCUAGACUUAAUUAUUUAAUAUUUUACUAUUAAUAUUAAUUCUAUAAUUUUAAUUCUAUAA